This 1745-nucleotide ribosomal RNA is filed under the name Escherichia coli. RNAcentral describes it as "partial 23S ribosomal RNA". It matches the Rfam family "Bacterial large subunit ribosomal RNA", at positions 418 to 2148 of the family's 2925-position model. The record is from RNAcentral. Lineage: Bacteria; Pseudomonadati; Pseudomonadota; Gammaproteobacteria; Enterobacterales; Enterobacteriaceae.
CGGGACACGUGGUAUCCUGUCUGAAUAUGGGGGGACCAUCCUCCAAGGCUAAAUACUCCUGACUGACCGAUAGUGAACCAGUACCGUGAGGGAAAGGCGAAAAGAACCCCGGCGAGGGGAGUGAAAAAGAACCUGAAACCGUGUACGUACAAGCAGUGGGAGCACGCUUAGGCGUGUGACUGCGUACCUUUUGUAUAAUGGGUCAGCGACUUAUAUUCUGUAGCAAGGUUAACCGAAUAGGGGAGCCGAAGGGAAACCGAGUCUUAACUGGGCGUUAAGUUGCAGGGUAUAGACCCGAAACCCGGUGAUCUAGCCAUGGGCAGGUUGAAGGUUGGGUAACACUAACUGGAGGACCGAACCGACUAAUGUUGAAAAAUUAGCGGAUGACUUGUGGCUGGGGGUGAAAGGCCAAUCAAACCGGGAGAUAGCUGGUUCUCCCCGAAAGCUAUUUAGGUAGCGCCUCGUGAAUUCAUCUCCGGGGGUAGAGCACUGUUUCGGCAAGGGGGUCAUCCCGACUUACCAACCCGAUGCAAACUGCGAAUACCGGAGAAUGUUAUCACGGGAGACACACGGCGGGUGCUAACGUCCGUCGUGAAGAGGGAAACAACCCAGACCGCCAGCUAAGGUCCCAAAGUCAUGGUUAAGUGGGAAACGAUGUGGGAAGGCCCAGACAGCCAGGAUGUUGGCUUAGAAGCAGCCAUCAUUUAAAGAAAGCGUAAUAGCUCACUGGUCGAGUCGGCCUGCGCGGAAGAUGUAACGGGGCUAAACCAUGCACCGAAGCUGCGGCAGCGACGCUGAUGCGUUGUUGGGUAGGGGAGCGUUCUGUAAGCCUGUGAAGGUGUGCUGUGAGGCAUGCUGGAGGUAUCAGAAGUGCGAAUGCUGACAUAAGUAACGAUAAAGCGGGUGAAAAGCCCGCUCGCCGGAAGACCAAGGGUUCCUGUCCAACGUUAAUCGGGGCAGGGUGAGUCGACCCCUAAGGCGAGGCCGAAAGGCGUAGUCGAUGGGAAACAGGUUAAUAUUCCUGUACUUGGUGUUACUGCGAAGGGGGGACGGAGAAGGCUAUGUUGGCCGGGCGACGGUUGUCCCGGUUUAAGCGUGUAGGCUGGUUUUCCAGGCAAAUCCGGAAAAUCAAGGCUGAGGCGUGAUGACGAGGCACUACGGUGCUGAAGCAACAAAUGCCCUGCUUCCAGGAAAAGCCUCUAAGCAUCAGGUAACAUCAAAUCGUACCCCAAACCGACACAGGUGGUCAGGUAGAGAAUACCAAGGCGCUUGAGAGAACUCGGGUGAAGGAACUAGGCAAAAUGGUGCCGUAACUUCGGGAGAAGGCACGCUGAUAUGUAGGUGAAGCGACUUGCUCGUGGAGCUGAAAUCAGUCGAAGAUACCAGCUGGCUGCAACUGUUUAUUAAAAACACAGCACUGUGCAAACACGAAAGUGGACGUAUACGGUGUGACGCCUGCCCGGUGCCGGAAGGUUAAUUGAUGGGGUCAGCGCAAGCGAAGCUCUUGAUCGAAGCCCCGGUAAACGGCGGCCGUAACUAUAACGGUCCUAAGGUAGCGAAAUUCCUUGUCGGGUAAGUUCCGACCUGCACGAAUGGCGUAAUGAUGGCCAGGCUGUCUCCACCCGAGACUCAGUGAAAUUGAACUCGCUGUGAAGAUGCAGUGUACCCGCGGCAAGACGGAAAGACCCCGUGAACCUUUACUAUAGCUUGACACUGAACAUUGAGCCUUGAUGUGUAGGAUAGGU